UUUGAUAAAGUGUAUACGCACAUGAAAAUUUGAUUUUUAAAGAGAUUAUUAAUCUAUCAAAU
This 62-nucleotide transfer RNA is filed under the name Desis jiaxiangi. RNAcentral's name for it is "tRNA-Gln". Lineage: Eukaryota; Metazoa; Arthropoda; Arachnida; Araneae; Desidae. The record is from RNAcentral.